CAGCAGCCGCGGUAAUACGGAGGAUCCGAGCGUUAUCCGGAUUUAUUGGGUUUAAAGGGUGCGUAGGCGGGUUGAUAAGUCAGUGGUGAAAGGUUUGCGCUCAACGUAGACAUUGCCAUUGAAACUGUCAGUCUUGAGUACAAAUGAGGUAGGCGGAAUGUGUUGUGUAGCGGUGAAAUGCAUAGAUAUGACACAGAACACCAAUUGCGAAGGCAGCUUACUGGGAUGUAACUGACGCUGAGGCACGAAAGCGUGGGGAUCAAACAGGAUUAGAUACCCUGGUAGUCCACGCAGUAAACGAUGAUUACUAGCUGUUAGCGAUAGAAUGUUAGUGGCUAAGCGAAAGCGAUAAGUAAUCCACCUGGGGAGUACGACCGCAAGGUUGAAACUCAAAGGAAUUGACGGGGGCCCGCACAAGCGGAGGAACAUGUGGUUUAAUUCGAUGAUACGCGAGGAACCUUACCCGGGCUUGAUAUGCAGAGGAAUGACGAGGAAACUUGUCCGCCAGCAAUGGUCUCUGUGUAGGUGCUGCAUGGUUGUCGUCAGCUCGUGCCGUGAGGUGUCGGCUUAAGUGCCAUAACGAGCGCAACCCUUAUUGAUAGUUACUAACAGGUUAAGCUGAGGACUCUAUUGAGACUGCCACCGUAAGGUGAGAGGAAGGUGGGGAUGACGUCAAAUCAGCACGGCCCUUACGUCCGGGGCGACACACGUGUUACAAUGGGGGGUACAGAGGGGAGCUACUUAGCGAUAAGAUGCGAAUCUCGAAAGCCUCUCGUAGUUCGGAUCGGAGUCUGCAACUCGACUCCGUGAAGCUGGAUUCGCUAGUAAUCGCGCAUCAGCCAUGGCGCGGUGAAUACGUUCCCGGGCCUUGUACACACCGCCCGUCAAGCCAUGGGAGUUGGGGGUGCCUA
This 911-nucleotide ribosomal RNA is filed under the name uncultured Paludibacter sp. RNAcentral describes it as "bacterial SSU rRNA". It matches the Rfam family "Bacterial small subunit ribosomal RNA", at positions 509 to 1423 of the family's 1533-position model. The record is from RNAcentral. Lineage: Bacteria; Pseudomonadati; Bacteroidota; Bacteroidia; Bacteroidales; Paludibacteraceae.